Molecule: long non-coding RNA, 635 nt
Organism: Amphimedon queenslandica
Lineage: Eukaryota; Metazoa; Porifera; Demospongiae; Haplosclerida; Niphatidae
Exons: 4
Source: RefSeq, a predicted model, not a curated record
GCCUAAGGAAAGAUAUGAUCAUUCCAGUGUACUGAUUACCACUAGUUCAGGACCACACUUACUAGUGGUGGGUGGAUUACCUACCUAUGAUGUAUGGUUAUUGGACAUUAACAAAAGAAAAUGGAAAGAACUGAUUAAUCUACCAAACAAUGUCACUAACAGAUACUGGCAUUCUCUCUCAGUGUGGAGUGUGACCCCAACUACUAACUGGAUAAUUGAGUUUGGAGGAAAAAGAAACUAUGACACAACAAUAAGUGAUACAGCAGUUAUUGAACUCAGAUAUACUAGUGAUAAUGAUUGGUUUACUAGUGUAAUACCUCUGGACCAGUAUCAAGAUCAACUAAGAAGAAGGAUACUGAGUGAUUGGGAGAAUUUAUAGGAUUAAGCAAAGUGGUGCAAUUACUCAGAGGACACCUACAAGAAAGAGAGAGAGAAUUCUAUGAGGGACAGCUUCAAAGAGAAAUAAAAGAGAAGGAGCAGAUACAGCAAGAUCGAGACAAAGAGCAGCAACAGUUUCUUCAAGAAAAGGCAACACUUAGUCAGCAACUUCAUGAUGCUACCACUCUCCUUGAGCAAGCAGAAAAGGAUAAAUCAACUGUUGAAUUAAAAAAGCUUAAAGUUAAAGUUGCUGAAAU